RNAcentral lists this ribosomal RNA (712 nucleotides) under fungal sp. RNAcentral describes it as "eukaryotic LSU rRNA". The stretch from base 462 to 712 matches the Rfam family "Eukaryotic large subunit ribosomal RNA", at positions 1 to 255 of the family's 3401-position model. The record is from RNAcentral. Lineage: Eukaryota; Fungi.
CAUUACCGAGUUUACAACUCCCAAACCCCUGUGAACAUACCAUUUGUUGCCUCGGCGGUGCCUGCUUCGGCAGCCCGCCAGAGGACCCAAACCCUUGAUUUUAUACAGUAUCUUCUGAGUAAAUGAUUAAAUAAAUCAAAACUUUCAACAACGGAUCUCUUGGUUCUGGCAUCGAUGAAGAACGCAGCGAAAUGCGAUAAGUAAUGUGAAUUGCAGAAUUCAGUGAAUCAUCGAAUCUUUGAACGCACAUUGCGCCCGCCAGUAUUCUGGCGGGCAUGCCUGUUCGAGCGUCAUUUCAACCCUCAAGCCCCCGGGCUUGGUGUUGGAGAUCGGCGUGCCCCCCGGGGCGCGCCGCCUCCCAAAUAUAGUGGCGGUCUCGCUGUAGCUUCCUCUGCGUAGUAGCACACCUCGCACUGGAAAACAGCGUGGCCACGCCGUUAAACCCCCCACUUCUGAAAGGUUGACCUCGGAUCAGGUAGGAAUACCCGCUGAACUUAAGCAUAUCAAUAAGCGGAGGAAAAGAAACCAACAGGGAUUGCCCUAGUAACGGCGAGUGAAGCGGCAACAGCUCAAAUUUGAAAUCUGGCCCUCGGGUCCGAAUUGUAAUUUGUAGAGGAUGCUUUUGGUGAGGUACCUUCCGAGUUCCCUGGAACGGGACGCCAUAGAGGGUGAGAGCCCCGUCUGGUCGGAUACCGAUCCUCUGUAAAGCUCC